RNAcentral lists this ribosomal RNA (524 nucleotides) under uncultured bacterium. RNAcentral's name for it is "partial 16S ribosomal RNA". It matches the Rfam family "Bacterial small subunit ribosomal RNA", at positions 28 to 523 of the family's 1533-position model. The record is from RNAcentral.
GACGAACGCUGGCGGCGUGCCUAAUACAUGCAAGUCGAGCGCAGGAAACCGUCUGAACCCUUCGGGGGGACGACGGUGGAAUGAGCGGCGGACGGGUGAGUAACACAUAAAGAACCUGCCCACGGGUCUGGGAUAACCACGAGAAAUCGGGGCUAAUACCGGACGGGUCAUCGGACCGCAUGGUCCGAGGAUGAAAGGCGCUCCGGCGUCGCCCGUGGAUGGCUUUGCGGUGCAUUAGCUAGUUGGUGGGGUAACGGCCCACCAAGGCGACGAUGCAUAGCCGACCUGAGAGGGUGAUCGGCCACACUGGGACUGGGACACGGCCCAGACUCCUACGGGAGGCAGCAGUAGGGAAUCUUCCACAAUGGACGAAAGUCUGAUGGAGCAACGCCGCGUGAACGAUGAAGGCCCUCGGGUCGUAAAGUUCUGUUGUAAGGGAAGAACAAGUGCCGCAGGCAAUGGCGGCACCUUGACGGUACCUUGCGAGAAAGCCACGGCUAACUACGUGCCAGCCGCCGCCGUAA